CUGCCACUGAAGAGACCCUGUCAUGGGCUGCCACCAACUGGGCACGAACAAGGCCUUACCUGAGGAUCAUAGAGUCCAGUAUGGUUGUAAGUAGGGAAGGUACUCUUUUAUGUUCUUGGGAUCCAAGCCAUUUAUCACUGUAUAGGCUACUAUGAACACCUUGCAUUUGGCCCAGUAGUUCAUUGGCAGCUGUGCUGGAUUACCAAAUAGGAAGAGUAGGCACCAGCCUAUGGCCUUUUAGGGGCCCUCUGUCAACGGAUCAAAAUAAUAUUGAUUUGAUCUUGAAAGAAAAUUACAAUCAAGUAUUAAGAGAUAAUUUGUGAGGGCACCACCCCAAGAUUUUGACUGCCUAGGGGCCUCCACGGGGUUUAAGCCUGCACUGAGUAUUUUCACAUGGCCCAUUUACCAGCCUAGCAGCUGCAUUCUUCACAAGCUGCAGUCAUUUCAUAUCACUUGGGAGGAAAGUCUGUUUAAGGUAACAGGAGAGGCAGAAUCUUGAUAGAUUUCAUCUCUCUUCACAGAUGAACAGUCAUGCAGUGACCUAUUUUGAUAUUCCAAAAAGCGUCAUUUGCAAGCAGCAGUAGGAAGACAUUAAAAAUUGAGUAUGAGGUGAUCAGCCCUUAGUUACCAAGAUCUUUGAUGUAAGCAGAGUUGACAUUAUUUGUUUAAAUAAAGUUUUUUUUUUAAAAAAAAACCAAACAAACCCCAAAAACAAACAUGGAGUGGGGAGUGACUUUCAAACCUUACUCCUAGAAAUUUAUUUAGGGCUUGGAAGCUUCAAGGGUCCCUAGAUCAGAUCAGUAAUGACCAAUAAGCUGGCAAAGAUAUCCUGAUGUCUACCAUAACUGAUCAUAAGGUAAAGGUAAAGGGACCCCUGAACAUUAGGUCCAGUCAUGGCCAACUCUGGGAUUGCAGCACCUAUCUCGCUUUAUUGGCUGAGGGAGCUGGCGUACAGCUUCCGGGUCAUGUGGCCAGCAUGACUAAGCCGCUUCUGGCGACCCAGAGCAGCGCACGGAAUCGCCGUUUACCUUCCCGCCGGAGCGGUACCUAUUUAUCUACUUGCACUUUGACAUGCUUUCAAACUGCUAGGUUGGCAGGAGCAGGGAUCGAGCAACGGGAGCUCACACCGUUGUGUGGAUUCAAACCGCCGACCUUCUGAUUGGCAAGUCCUAGGCUCUGUGGUUUAACCCACAGCGCCACCCGCGUCCAUAUAACUGAUCAUACACGUUCAGUAAAAUGAAAAUAUGGUUCAUAUGGGCUAAAGCGAUUUUUAUUAAGUAGGUUGGCCCUGCAUUGCUCUUUAGCUGGUGUGGUGGUGUGGAUGGGAAGAGAAGCUUUAGUGCUUUCGACCAGCUCCAGUCCUGAUCAGAAUCAAACCCCACUCUGCUGUGAUUUGCCUGGGAAGGAAAGUUCCCAUUGGCCCCCAUGCAAACCUUCCUCCCAUUGCAAAUAGCAAGCAUGGAGGGGUGUGUGAGUCUGGUGAGGGGGCAGGGGAGUUAUAUGCCCUCUGUAAUGUCAUGGUCCAAGUUUGCACACCCCCACCCCUACCAAACGCUAACUAUUUGCUAAACAAAAACCAGUUACGCAGCCCAAACAUGUCUUGUUUAUACCGCAGUUAGCAAAGUAUAAUCCAGAGGUCAAAAAGUCUCUGCCAGCUCCCCUGGGUGAACUGAGUAUUCUCCCUGAAUGUUUCUCAUGCAACUUCUCUGUAGGAAGUUUACUUUGUUGGCAUUUAAAGGCAAACUUACCUAAUUCACAAUUUCUGAAACAAGAUUUGAGCCGAAACACAGCCAUCCUUUGAAAUUUGCACUUACCCAAAUUUUGCCAUGCAGAUCUCCAGCAAAGUAAUGUGUACCAAAAUGCACAUACUGGUUUAAAGUGUGCAACACGCCAAAGAAAGGCAUACAAAAAUGUGUUUAUUAGGCAGAAUCCACAUCAAAAUGCUGCUGAAUUUUCAUAAGAUUAAAAAAAAUAAUUCACAAACUGACGUAGAAAUGCAGAGAACUGAAGUUUAGAAAAACAAGAAACAAAGAGAAAUCGAAAGAUCUGCCCAUUCCUAAUCCUCCGCAAGCCACAAAGGAUCAUUGGCAGACAAAUUAAUAUGGAAAUUGUUCCCUGAGAGCAGAAAGUUUGACAAGAAUCAUUACAGAAAGGUUAAGUUAUGAAUAAAUUCCUCCAGAAAAAGCACUCUCUGUAAGGGGAAGAACUACAGUUCCCAUGAUUCUCUGGCACACUGCUGGAAGUUCUGGAUUGGUUCUGCUGGUGUACCCACAGAGCCCUAACCUCUGUUCCAGGAGAGGAGAGCACACCUGAAUCUUGUAGCUGACAUUGUGAUACUGUCCCCCCCCCUUUUAUUCCCUCGAAAAACUAUUUUGACUGUGCUGUUCAUUUACAAGCUGAAAGCAAGCCUCUAAUAUUUUGAAAAGGGCAGAUCAAAAUUCAGCUUACUGAGGCAGAACGUGGGGUUUCCUCAAUGUGUCUCCAAUUAUGAGCCCUGACACUGGACAUUUCACAGCAGAUAUGUCAAUGAAAAGAGGCAUGAGCUUUGCAAAAAUGCCGGAGGGUAUUCUCCCUCGGGCUUGAAGCUGUCAAUCCUUUUCUUGAAGGCCCAGCUCAGAAGCACCUGCAAGAUUGACAGAGAGGAGGAGAGGGGUGAAAUUAGACGUCAUAAGGGGAAACCAGCUGGUCUCUAGUCGGUUUGCUGCACAGCUGCCAUCUUAACCUUCACAGUCAAUGUCUGUGUAUUUAAGCCAAUCAGUUAAGCAGAAAUUUGAAAAUUAUCCUUAAGUUCUCUGAAUUUCCUCCCUUGCCAUUUUCUCAGAAAUUGCACACACGUUGUAACAAUUUGCAGCAUUAGGGAGGAGAAAAUCCAGGCAUGAUGGUAAAUUGGGACAUUUGUAGAUUAGUUUUUCAUUUACCCUUUAGCUGUGUACACACUAUACCUUUAAAACACCAAACACAAAUCCCUGUUAAAGAAGAACUCUAUUUCGUUGACCAAAUCUGGCCAGUUUUAUACCAUAAAUAGAAGGGUAUAUUCUUGACACGGAGCACAUGUAGAGAAGACAUUGAAUGUGAGAAACAUCUGUCGGAGGGAAGGCCGCCAAUAUUUGUAGAUAUAUAUGUGAUCUCCUGCCAAGUUCUCAGACGGUGCCAAUUGACAGCUAUUAAUUAACUUCAGUCGAUCUUCACUGAUUUAUGCCAGUUAAUAUGAUUUGCUCUUUGGCGGAACAGUUUCGGACUAUGUUUUCUUUUCUUCUGCAAAGGUAGAUCAGCCUCUGCUGAGACAUUCAUAAUCUCAAGAAACUAGCCCUUGAUCAUUGAAAAUAUAGUCAUCAUGCAUUUUGCCAUUGAUAGAAUAUUUAUGCCUCAGGUAACCACUGAACAAAAUGAGUGUUAAAAGAAUUGAACUGCGUAUUGUGUCUUUCAGUAAGACUUGGAGAGAAAUCCUAUGCCUGGCUACUCAGAAGGAAGUCCUAUUGGAUUCAGUGACACUUACUCCCAGGUGUUUUGGCAGCAGAGGAUCAAUGGGAUGCCUCUUAAUCUACUCUAGCAUGGAUCUGGCACAGUUAAUUUCCAGAAGCUUCCACUCUAAACCCCCACUGCCCUGGUUGCAGUAAACUGGUAGGGUUUAAGAAAUGGCGACAGCUCUGCCAUAGAAUCUCCCCUUUCUCAACAUAAGAUUUCUUUGUUAAAUUCUUAACUGAUACAAAGGGAUGGUAGUUGUCAAGUACAUUUAAAAGAAUCUGAAGAUGUUUUAUUGGGGACUUUGACUCCAGUGUUAUGGCUCUUGAGCAGUGCAGUCUUCCUACAGACGACUUGAAAAUUGCUGAGGGCCUUGGCCGGCCACUUAAUGAUUUUCCCAUCUGUUGUAGCAAAUGUAAUGUGCUGUGCAGGCUGCGGUAUAACUUUUAAUUGUAUUUCUAAUGCUUAUUUUAUUUUCUUAUAUAUUGUGCUUUAGUGUGUUAUAAUUUGAAUUCCAUAGAAUUCAAAAUGUAAUGCAAUAAAAUACUCUUUUCAGGAGGGACUGUGAAGCUAUGUAGCAGGAAGGAAUCAUCAUGUAAGGUGGCUACUUAAACCUCACAAAUAAAAGAGAAAAGGGGUCACACACAAAAAACAGAAGAGGAUACAGAUUUCCAUUAAAUUUGCAUAUGCUAAUUUAGAUUAUUAUUUUUUAUUUUUGUAAUUUAUAUAGUAAUAGCGCACCUCUGGGCAAAGUGUGAUCCAUUGACUGCUCAGCCCAGGUACUGACAACUCCAAGGUCCCUGUUCUCCCUCCUUAUGGUUUGGGGUCUCCUGUUUGGACAACCCUUCAGAUAGCUCAUCAAAUUAGAAGACUGUCAUCUAUAAAGGAA
Molecule: non-coding RNA, 4351 nt
Organism: Podarcis lilfordi (Lilford's wall lizard)
Lineage: Eukaryota; Metazoa; Chordata; Lepidosauria; Squamata; Lacertidae
Source: the annotation of a GenBank genome assembly